CGAGUGUCAUAUCUCAUGUCACUCCGCCCACCACUAGAGGUCAGCCUUAGAAUUAAAAGGUGUUCUUCUAGGAAGGAGAUGAGGAGGAAUUUCUUUAGUCAGAGGGUGGUGCCAGCACAAUAACCUGGCCCUCAACACCAGCAAAACCAAGGAACUUUGGAAGGAGUAGGAGGGGGACCCACAGCCCCAUUUAUAUCAACGGGUCGAUGGUUGAAAGGGUCAAGAGCUUCAAAUUCCUGGGCGUGCACAUCUCUGAAGAUCCCUCCUGGUCCGAGAACACUAAUGCAAUUAUAAAGAAAGCACAUCCGCGCCUCUACUUCCUGAGAAGAUUACGGAGAGUCGGUAUGUCAAGGAGGACUCUCUCUAACCUCUACAGUAGAGAGCAUGCUGAACGGUUGCAUCGUGGCUUGGUUCGGCAACUUGAUCGCCCUGGAGAGGAAGAGACUACAAAAAGUAGUAAACACUGCCCAGUCCAUCAUCGGCUCUGACCUUCCUUCCAUCGAGGGGAUUUAUCGCAGUCACUGCCUCAAAAAGGCUGGCAGCAUCAUCAAAGACCCACACCAUCCUGGCCACACACUCAUCUCCCUGCUACCUUCAGGUAGAAGGUACAGGAGCCUGAAGACUGCAACAACCAGGUUCAGGAAUAGCUACUUCCCCACAGCCAUCAGGCUAUUAAACCUGGCUGAAACAAAACUCUGAACAUUAAUAGCCCAUUAUCUGUUUAUUUGCAUUUUAUCAGUUUAUUUAUUCAUGUGUGUAUAUAUUUAUAUUAUGGUAUAUGGACACACUGAUCUGUUCUGUAGUCAUGCCUACUAUGUUCUGUGUGCUGAAGCAAAGCAAGAAUUUAAUUGUCCUAUCAGGGACACAUGACAAUAAAAUCUCUUGAACUUGAACUCUUGGUGAAUCUGUUCAAUUCUUUGCCACAGACGGCUGUGGAGGCAAAGUCAGUGAAUAUGUUUAAGGCGGAGAUAGAUUGUUGAUUAGUACGGGUGUCAGAGGUUAUGGGGAGAAGGCAAGAGAAUGAGUUUAGGAUGGAGAUAGAUCAGCCAUGAUUGAAUUGCGAAGUAGACUUGAUGGGCCAAAUGGCCUAAUUCUACUCCCAUCACUUAUGAUCUUAUGACGCUAUUUGGCCCAUCUAGCCUGUGCUGGCUCUUCAGAAUGAAGAAGGGUUUCGGCCCAAAACGUUGCCUAUUUCCUUCGCUCCAUAGAUGCUGCUGCACCCGCUGAGUUUCUCCAGCAUUUUGUGUACCAUUGAGUAUAGAAGUUGGGAUGUAAUGUUAAAAUUGUACAAGGCAUUGGUGAUGCCAAUUCUGGAGUAUGGUGUACAAUUUUGGUCGCCAAAUUAUAGGAAAGAUGUCAACAAACUAGAGAGAGUACAGAGGAGAUUUACUAGAAUGUUGCCUGGGUUUCAGCACCUAAGUUACAGAGAAAGGUUGAACAAGAUAGGUCUUUAUUCUUUGGAGCGCAGAAGGUUAAGGGGGGACUUGAUAGAGGUCUUUAAAAUGAUGAGAGGGAUAGACAGAGUUGACGUGGAUAAGCUUUUCCCACUGAGAGUAGGGAAGAUUCCAGUGAAGGUGGUGGAGGCAGGUUUGAUUUUAUCAUUUAAAAAUAAAUUGGAUAGGUGUAUGGACGGGAAAGGAAUGGAGGGUUAUGGUCUGAGUGCAGGUAGAUGGGACUAGGGGAGAAUAAGUGUUCGGCACGGACUAGAAGGGCCGAGAUGGCCUGUUCCCGUGCUGUAAUUGUUAUAUGGUUAUGGCCACAGCCCAGGAGGCAGUAGGGGAAGGAGAGAACUCAAGGAGAACGCAAUUUUACUCAGACGUGCGAGGUGCUGCAUUUUGGGACGUUAACAAUAAAUGGCAGGGCGCUGGAGAAUGUUCUAGAGCAGAGAGAACAAGGUGUACAAAAACAGAUCCCUGAAAGUGGUGACACAGUUAGAAUUAGAGGAGGAUGUGUCAGAAGGAACGGUUUAAACUGAAGAUAGACACAAAAAGCUGGGGUAACUCAGCGGGCCAGACUGAAGAAUCACCUAUUUCUCUUCUCCUGAGGAAUAUGUUUGGUCAGGACAUUGACCACAGGAGUUGGGACAUCAUGCUCCACUGUACAAGAUGUCCGUUCAACCACACUUGUAUCAUGUACAGUGCUGGCUGCCCAAGCAUGGGAGUGAAGUCAUUCUGUUCGAAAGGAAGCAGAAUAGAUUCACCAUGAUGUUCACCAGCACUGGAAGGCUUAAGUUACAGGAAGAUGUUGGAAAGGUUGGAACUGUUUGGCCUGGAGCAUAGGAGGUUGAGCGCCAACUUUAUAGAAAUUUAUAGAAACAUAGAAAAUAUAGGAUCAGGAGUUGGCCAUUCGGCCCUUCGAGCCAGCACCGCCAUUCAAUAUGAUCAAGGCUGAUCAUCCAAAAUCAGUAUCCCGUUUCCCAUAUCCCUUGAUUCCCUGAGCCCUAAGAGCUAAAUCUAAUUCUCUCUUGAAAACAUCCAGUGAAUUCACCUCCACUGCCUUCUGUGGCAGAGAAUUCUACAGAUUCACAGCUAUAUGGGUGAUUUUUCCUCAUCUCAGUCCUACAUGGCCCACAGUUCUUAAAACGUUGCCCCUGGUUCUGGACUCCCCCAACAUCAGGAACAGUUUUCCUGCAUUUAGCCUGUCCGAUCCCUUAAGAAUUUUAUGUGUUUCUAUUGUAAGAUAUCCUCUCAUCCUUCUAAAUUUCAGUGAAUAUAAGCCCAGUCGACCCAUUCUUUCAUCAUAUGUCAGUCCCGCCAUCCCAGGAAUUAACCUUGUGAACCUAUGCUGCACUCCCUCAAUAGCAAGAAUGUCCUUCCUCAAAUUAGGAGACCAAAACUGCGCACAAUACUCCAGGUGUGGUCUCACCAGGGCCCUGUUCAACUGCAGUAGGACAUCCCUGCUCCCAUACUCAAAUCGUCUUGCUGUACCUGCAUGCCUACUUCUCGUUGCACCUCCCUUUUUCCUUAUCGGAUUAUAAAAUUCUAUUAUAAAAUCAUGAGGUGCAUGUUGCAGAAUAUAAUGCUGGAUCAACUCAGCAGGUCAGGCAGCAGGUCUGGAGAAAAGCAAUAGGUGAUGUUUUGGGACGAGACCCUUCUUCAGACUGGUUUCAGUCUGUUUCCCAGGGCACAGGUGUCCAAAACUAAAGGGCCAAGGUUUAAGAUGAAGUAGGUGAAGCAGGUACAAUUGCAAUGUUCAAAAGAUAUAUGAACAAGUACAUGGGCAGGAAAGGUUCAGAAGGAUACGGGCCAAAUGCAUUCAAAAUGGAACGUGUUCUUGGCAACUUGGUUAGCACGGGUGAGAUGGGCUGCAGGGUUUAUUUCCAUGCUGUGUAACUGUAUAAAUCUCUUGAGACAUCACGUUCCAAAAUAGAUCCAACAAACAAUUCUAGCGCUCUCCUCCCAUGUGCAGGCGGUGACACCAGACCAGUCUCCUCCUCCCCUGCCCACAUCUGCUGCUCUGCCAUUUCUUUAAGCUUCCUCUGCCCCAAUGAAGCCAGUUGUACAGUGAGCAAAACAAAAGAGUGGUGAAUCAUGGAACUCUCUGCCACAGAAGGUAGUUGAGGCCAGUUCAUUGGAUAUAUAUAAGGCAAGGCAAGGAGAGGCAACUUUAUUUAUAUAGUACAUUUCAUAUAUGAGGCAGACUCAAAGUGCUUCACAUAAAAACAUGUCAUACAAUAAAAUGAAAUAAUAAAAUGAAAUAAAAUAGAAAAAUUAAAAGAAAAUAAAGCAAAAUUAAAAAUGCAUUAUAAAAAGUGCAAAAGUUAAAAGUGUAAUGUAGUUAAGAUUUAGCUGAAAGCUAAAGUAAACAUAAAAGUUUCAGUCUUGUUUUAAAAGUGGUCAAAGUUGAGGCAAGUCUUAAAUCUUCAGGAAGUUUAUUCCAGCUAUUUGUUGCAUAGUAACUAAAUCCUGCUUUCCCAUGUUUUGUAUUUACUCUGGGAAUCACUAACAGAUUGGUCUCAGAAGAUCUUAGCGGUCUAGAAGGCAUAUAGUAGAAGCAUGUCAGUGAUAUACUUUGGCCCUAAACCAUUUAAGAGGGAGUUAGAUGUGGCCCUUGUGGCUAAAGAGAUCAGGGGGUAUGGAGAGAAGGCAGGUACAGGAUACUGAGUUGGAUGAUCAGCCAUGAUCAUAUUGAAUGGCGGUGCAGGCUUGAAGGGCCGAAUGGCCUACUCCUGCACCUAUUUUGUAUAUUUCUAUGACCCGAGUCGUGGUCUGUCCAUUCCCUCCACAGUUGCUGCUUGACCUGCUAAGAUACUCCAGCACUUGGUUAAACGCCACCUAUCCAUGUUCUCCACAGAUGCUGCCUGGCCCGCUGAGAUACUCCAGCACUUUGUUUUUGCUGAAGAUUCCAGCAGUCUCAAGCAUCUUGAAAGUUCUCACAGAAGAAUCUUUUUCUUGGUUCUUGGUCCUCCAAAAUAUUCCAAAUGGAAUUUAAACUGGAGGUGGUGAAGGGAGGGCUUUAGCCAGAAAAGGAUUAUUGGAAAGAAAGGGCUACUUUAAAUGUAGUUGCAUCUGGUUGGGUAACUAUAGUUGGGUGGAGAUUAUUCCAUGCUUUAAUUGUGCGGGGGAAGAACGAAUUGUUGUACACAUCUGUCUUUGUAGCUGGGAUCACAAAUUGGAUCUAAUGCCCUCGUCUGCUCCUAAUUGGUUUGGGUUUGGUGUAGGUCUUGUAAUCUAUGUCGAGCUGACCAUUUAA
This is a long non-coding RNA of Leucoraja erinaceus (little skate), 4692 nucleotides long. RefSeq lists it as uncharacterized. The transcript has 2 exons. The record is from RefSeq and is a predicted model, not a curated record. NCBI's taxonomy places the organism in Eukaryota, Metazoa, Chordata, Chondrichthyes, Rajiformes, Rajidae.